Molecule: transfer RNA, 73 nt
Filed under: Myotis davidii
Lineage: Eukaryota; Metazoa; Chordata; Mammalia; Chiroptera; Vespertilionidae
Rfam family: tRNA
About the family: Transfer RNA (tRNA) molecules are approximately 80 nucleotides in length. Their secondary structure includes four short double-helical elements and three loops (D, anti-codon, and T loops).
Source: Rfam by way of RNAcentral
GUCUGGGUAGCUCAGUUGGUUAGAGCUUUGUCCUGAUAUGCCAAGGUUGUGGGUUCAAUCCCCAUUCAGAGCA